CCUACGGGAGGCAGCAGUGGGGAAUUUUGGACAAUGGGCGCAAGCCUGAUCCAGCCAUGCCGCGUGCAGGAUGAAGGCCUUCGGGUUGUAAACUGCUUUUGUACGGAACGAAAAGACUCUGGUUAAUACCUGGGGUCCAUGACGGUACCGUAAGAAUAAGCACCGGCUAACUACGUGCCAGCAGCCGCGGUAAUACGUAGGGUGCGAGCGUUAAUCGGAAUUACUGGGCGUAAAGCGUGCGCAGGCGGUUAUAUAAGACAGAUGUGAAAUCCCCGGGCUCAACCUGGGAACUGCAUUUGUGACUGUAUAGCUAGAGUACGGCAGAGGGGGAUGGAAUUCCGCGUGUAGCAGUGAAAUGCGUAGAUAUGCGGAGGAACACCGAUGGCGAAGGCAAUCCCCUGGGCCUGUACUGACGCUCAUGCACGAAAGCUGGGGAGCAAACAGGAUUAGAUACCCUGGUAGUCCCACGCCUAACCGACUGUCACUGGUUGUUGGUUCGUUCUACU
Molecule: ribosomal RNA, 506 nt
Filed under: uncultured bacterium
Lineage: Bacteria
Description: bacterial SSU rRNA
Rfam family: Bacterial small subunit ribosomal RNA
Source: RNAcentral